ACUGAUCCCCAAACACACACAAGCACCCCUCUUGCAGCCCCCCCAAGCAUGUAACCCAAGACACCCAAAUUGCUUACUUGCCAGCCUGCUCUCAUUCUGCAGCAAAAGUUCCUUCCUGUAGGCUUGGCAUCUCUCACUGGGAUGGCUGACUGACAAAUCCGCUCUAAGGCCCUAUCAUCUACUGAUAUGUAUGUGUGUGUGUAUGUCUGUGCGUAAAUUACAUACACAGCAGCCAGCCUCUUGUCUAACCCUGUCUUGCCCUUCCUAUCGCUGGAGAAACAAGUUUGUUUCACUGUUUAUUGCCAUUCAUCAUUAUUUUCUCUUUACUGUUUUAGCUGCAUCUUCCCCUUUCCCGCUCUGAGCCGAAGACCACAAGUUCUGUGGUCAGUCUGUACUUUGAGUGGCUUGGACACCAGCCAGCCAACAAGGAAGGCUGUCCCCAGCACGUAGAGUCAGAAAAAUGACCUUGUAAUUGUCCUAUGGACUUCCAGAUUAAGACUGAGAUCUUGCAUUUGAGCAGAGUUUCUCUGAGAAAAUACGCACCUCAGCAUUGUGUCCAUAUGCAACACUACUGAGUGGAAAGACCCCUAAAUCCUCUUCUGGACCUAUGUAAGUCACUUACCAGCUGCAAAAUGAUUACAGUGGUCCUUGUCUACUUUCAUGAAGUAUAUCUGAUGAGCCAAGUACUCUGUGGUGUAUCCAAGAUGAACAUAACCGCAAUCAAAACAGACCACUGAUGAUGUUUUAAGUAUUAAGGGCUGCAUAUCUUUCUUCUGGUACUUACCAUGGGUUUGCCAACAACAGAGUCAUAUCUUUACUUACAGCCUCAGAAAAAGUCCUGAACCUGAAUUCAAGAGAGGAUUUGGUUUUUCUGAGCACUGAGGGAGCUGGGUGUUGGUUCGGUUCGUGUACUGCUGUCUGUGGCCUUUGUCAUCCUUAGUUCAUGCCAAAGGCUCAGCGUAGGACUUGUCCGUGUUGGCUGCCAUGAAGAAAACAGAACAGAUGCAACAUGGGCAGCACAAACGUCCUCAAACUGCUCCGCCAACGUGCUUCAAUUCUGAAUGAGAAGGACCAGCUUUCUGGGCUGAAUUGACACCUAUCAAUUCCUUCUGCCUGGCUAUUGAGCAGCCGUCGGAUGACAAGACCUUCCCUUGCACUCUGCAGACAGAGGUCAGGUUUGGCCAAGUGAUGUAACGGUCUGUGUUGUGCCAAUCCCACCGGCCGGCUGGACCUGCCACGAAGAGCAUUUCACAGCCUGGAUUUGUCCAGCACUGAAUACGAGCUGCCAGCCUGGAGAAGACGGGCCCAGGCACCUUAUGUGCCUGUUGGAGCAAGCACAAGCAUGGUUCAACAGGAGGGAGGGAGGUUCACUGCUGAAACGUGUGUCUGCUGUGCAUGUGCCUUCUUGCAGUUGAUGCCAAAGUCAUUGAAAGAUGAUCAUCUGCACGGUCAGAGAGAGGCCACCUUCAGAGUGGUGAAGGUCACCCCAGACGGGAUAGUCUUUAGACGACUGAAAAAUACCAGGGGAAAAUAGCUUGAAAAAUAGGACAUGACAGGAGGAGAUCAGCAGCAGGAUCUGACUAGUAGCAAAAAACCUGUUCUGAAUCUUUUCUGUACUGAAAAGAGAGUCCAAAAUGGGAGAAGGAAUUACUAUCCCAGACAAAUACCAUGUCUGAUAUAUAACCUCUCCCCAGCCAAGGUAUUCCCAGUGUCUGUAGUUUUCCAGGGCUCUACUGCAGCAGUCUUGUGACUGCAUACCCAUGCUUGCCAUGCUUCUGAGCACCCUGACCUAUGGCUUGCACAGUGUGCUGCCUUUUCCUCUUGUGGACUGGUGUUCCCUCUCUUUCCAGCCCCAGUUGCUCAGCUUGGUGGUUUUCAGAGCAACUGGCCAUUUCCAUCCUGGCAGUUUGGUCCUCUCAAUACUGAGAGCAGGCUGUGAGACAUCCCAGAGCUCGGGGAGUGGCAUUUCACAGUCUGUAACAUUCAAAUUAACGGGAAUUUCUGAUGUUUGUGGAUUCUGGGUCAGCUGCUCUCAUGACAGUUUCCACCAAAAGUAGGCAGUUUUGCUGGAACUAUAUGAAAUGAGCUUUUUUGUGGCUUUCACCUAUUUACACAGCAACUGGAGGUGGGGUCACCACAUAUGUAAAUGUAUGCAAACCAGCUGUAAUCUAGCUAGCUCAGGUAGGACACCAACUGGGAUAAUCCCCCACACUGCAGUACAUGCAAACUUGCCUGUGACUCAGGGAAUUUGGCUGGCAAUACCAUGCUGAAAUUUGUAUCACUGAAACUUAAUCAUUAUCACUGAUAUCACUACCCAUGAGACAAUAGCGCACCUGAUCUCACCAAAGUCCUAUCUUGGCAGUGUAGCAUUUCUCAAAUGCCUUGAAGCUUGAUUUUGUUCCAUAAAGGCCCAGCCAGCAUGGUUUCAAGAGAGUCAGGUUGGAAUAUAAAACAACAUAGACAUGCAACAAAUACUAUUUAAACCAACACAGGGAGAAUUGAGGACUGUCUGUGUAGCUACACUGUGAAGGCAGAGCUGUAACAAAUACUGUCCAUUUGUUACUCAGGCAUCAGAGCAAAGUAUUGUAAUACGUGCUUAUGAGUGAGUCCAUUACAUGUACAUUUUAUAUGCUAUCAAUAUUUUAGCUGAAUGAAGAAUACAAUCAAUUUGGACACAUUUCACGUAAUUUUGAAAUGCAUUGUGUAAACAUUGCAGAUGUAGGCCGUUUUCCUCCACUGCCUGUGCAUUUUUAUAUGCUGUGAAGUCUAUUUUAAAUAUAUGCGUGAAAUGUGUCAUGAAACAUCUGACAUAUGUGGAAAACAUAUUACUGUACCGUAUGGGCAGUGUAUAAGGUCGCUUGUGAACAGCUUGAAAACAGCAAUCAUUUGCAUAUGGAUAUAUAGCUGUUUGUAUUAUGAUACCAUCAUAGGGGAAUAAGGGGUAUGUCCCAGGUCUACAUGGGUCACUCGCAAUGGCAGUACUCUUGGGCUCAUGAUGAAUAAAGUUAUGGGAACAAAUAGAAAUAACUAAAGUGUUUGGUGCCU
Cygnus olor (mute swan) is the source of this 3045-nucleotide long non-coding RNA. RefSeq lists it as uncharacterized. The transcript has 3 exons. NCBI's taxonomy places the organism in Eukaryota, Metazoa, Chordata, Aves, Anseriformes, Anatidae. The record is from RefSeq and is a predicted model, not a curated record.